RNAcentral lists this ribosomal RNA (433 nucleotides) under uncultured bacterium. RNAcentral's name for it is "partial 16S ribosomal RNA". It matches the Rfam family "Bacterial small subunit ribosomal RNA", at positions 29 to 507 of the family's 1533-position model. The record is from RNAcentral.
AACGAACGCUGGCGGCAUGCCUAACACAUGCAAGUCGAACGAGACCUUCGGGUCUAGUGGCGCACGGGUGCGUAACGCGUGGGAACCUGCCCUUAGGUUCGGAAUAACUCCCCGAAAGGGGUGCUAAUACCGGAUAAUGUCUUCGGACCAAGGAUUUAUCGGCUUUGGAUGGGCCCGCGUUGGAUUAGCUAGUUGGUAGGGUAAAAGCCUACAAAGGCGACGAUCCAUAGCUGGUCGGAGAGGAUGAUCAGCCACACUGGGACUGGGACACGGCCCAGACUCCUACGGGAGGCAGGAGUGGGGAAUAUUGGACAAUGGGCGAGAGCCUGAUCCAGCAAUGCCGCGUGAGUGAUGAAGGCCUUAGGGUUGUAAAGCUCUAUUACCCGGGAUGAUAAUGACAGUACCGGGAGAAUAAGCUCCGGCUAACUCCGUG